AACGCGAAGAACCUUACCUGGGUUUGGCAUCUCCUGAACGCCGUAGAGAUACGGAAGGCCCGAAAGGGACAGGAAGACAGGUGCUGCAUGGCUGUCGUCAGCUCGUGUCGUGAGAUGUUGGGUUAAGUCCCGCAACGAGCGCAACCCUUAUCUUUAGUUGCCAGCAUUAAGUUGGGCACUCUAAAGAGACUGCCAACGUUAAGUUGGAGGAAGGCGGGGAUGACGUCAAGUCCUCAUGGCCUUUAUAUCCAGGGCAACACACGUUCUACAAUGGCCGGUACAAAGCGCAGCGAAAUCGCGAGAUGGAGCCAACCGCAAAAAACCGGUCUAAAGUUCAGAUUGGAGUCUGCAACUCGACUCCAUGAAGUUGGAAUCGCUAGUAAUCGCGGAUCAGAAUGCCGCGGUGAAUACGUUCCCGGGCCUUGUACACACCGGCUAC
Molecule: ribosomal RNA, 439 nt
Filed under: uncultured bacterium
Lineage: Bacteria
Description: bacterial SSU rRNA
Rfam family: Bacterial small subunit ribosomal RNA
Source: RNAcentral